UAGGGAAUCUUCGGCAAUGGGGGGAACCCUGACCGAGCAACGCCGCGUGAGUGAAGAAGGUUUUCGGAUCGUAAAGCUCUGUUGUUAAGGAAGAACGAGUGUGAGAAUGGAAAGUUCAUGCUGUGACGGUACUUAACCAGAAAGGGACGGCUAACUACGUGCCAGCAGCCGCGGUAAUACGUAGGUGGCAAGCGUUGUCCGGAUUUAUUGGGCGUAAAGCGAGCGCAGGCGGUCAAUUAAGUCUGAUGUGAAAGCCCCCGGCUCAACCGGGGAGGGUCAUUGGAAACUGGUUGACUUGAGUGCAGAAGAGGAGAGUGGAAUUCCAUGUGUAGCGGUGAAAUGCGUAGAUAUAUGAGGAACACCAGUGGCGAAGGCGACUCGCUGGUCUGUAACUGACGCUGAGGCUCGAAAGCGUGGGUAGCAAACAGG
Molecule: ribosomal RNA, 429 nt
Filed under: Bacteroidota bacterium
Lineage: Bacteria; Pseudomonadati; Bacteroidota
Description: Bacteroidetes bacterium partial 16S ribosomal RNA
Rfam family: Bacterial small subunit ribosomal RNA
Source: RNAcentral